Molecule: long non-coding RNA, 833 nt
Organism: Hippocampus comes (tiger tail seahorse)
Lineage: Eukaryota; Metazoa; Chordata; Actinopteri; Syngnathiformes; Syngnathidae
Exons: 5
Source: RefSeq, a predicted model, not a curated record
CACUUAUCCAAUCAGAUGGUGCUCAAGGACCCGAUCGACGUUGUGAAUCCGAGUCUUCCCUCUUCAACGUUUGGACCCGUUGCUUGUCGGCAGGCCCUCAGGAAACGUGGCGUCACGAGCCACCUGCUGUCACACACACACGCAGACUGGUGACUGAAGCUCCACCCAAAAAGCACUGCAUAUUUUGUUGUCAAGCACACUCACCUGCUUUUUCUUUGACUCUGCAUGCAGUGCAGCUUCCAGUGACCCUCCACCUGCUGGGCAAAGAGACAAAUGCGACAAGCUUGCAGAAGGUCCUCACUGCUGUCUCCAUUUGCAACGUUGCCGUUGAAAGUUACGAAAUAAUGGGGGGGGUGUCUCUCUCGUUUGUGGUGUUGGCAGGUUUUGACCACCUUGGAUGAGUCACUGGAACAGAAGCAGCAUGAGCAACUGUCGUAGCAAAAGGUUCCAGUCUCCAGUUAAUCAACACUUGGGAAGCAAGUUGAAAAAUGAGGAGCAGAGUACAACGGAACUGCGUUUCUGGUUUGUAAUUGGUGUCUACCAACCUGUGCUUUGUCUUUCAGAUGGAGCUGUUGCAGUGCGAUGAGAGUUGAAGAUUGUUCUUGGGUCCUCUGUGCCACAAGGGGGAGUAACCUGCUCACCGCCGGAGUCAACCCACAAGCACAGACCUGCAGCCAACACUUUUUUGCUCUUCCUGUUAUUCGCUAGGUGCUGAAGUCAAAUUUUGGGCCAGCCUGAAAAACAGCAGUAAACAUGAUCGGCUUCCUGCUCUCCAAAGACCCAACACUGACUCUCUCGUAAGUCAACACACCUGUCCCACGUUCUUAAGAGCC